Molecule: ribosomal RNA, 279 nt
Filed under: uncultured bacterium
Lineage: Bacteria
Description: partial 16S ribosomal RNA
Rfam family: Bacterial small subunit ribosomal RNA
Source: RNAcentral
UGCCAGCAGCCGCGGUAAUACGGAGGGGGCUAGCGUUGUUCGGAAUUACUGGGCGUAAAGCGCGCGUAGGCGGAUUAGUCAGUUGGAGGUGAAAUCCCGGAGCUCAACUCCGGAAUUGCCUUCAAUACUGCUAGUCUUGAGUACUGGAGGGGGUGGUGGAAUUCCCGGUGUAGAGGUGAAAUUCGUAGAUAUCGGGAGGAAUACCGGUGGCGAAGGCGGCUCUCUGGUCCGGUCCUGACGCUGAGGCGCGAAAGCGUGGGGAGCAAACAGGAUUAGAUC